RNAcentral lists this long non-coding RNA (297 nucleotides) under Paramuricea clavata. The record is from RNAcentral. Lineage: Eukaryota; Metazoa; Cnidaria; Anthozoa; Malacalcyonacea; Plexauridae.
UGGCUCAUUAACUAUGUUAUUGUCCAGCUUUAUGCAAGAAUUUGGUCCUAUCUCGUCACGUGUGUAUUGUAUUUUCGCUCAAAUAACCAAUAACAAGUUUGUGGUUGAGUUAUCCAUCCGUAACUUGAACAAAUGCUCAAUUUAAACAUUGCUAUUGGUUGUGCGGGAAAAAAUACAAUACACACGUGACGAGAUAGGCCCAAAUUCUUGCAUAAACCGAAGCCAACAUAGUUAAUGAGUUAUAUUGUACUUUCAUCGAGUCUCCAAACCAUGUAUUCUAUUAACUGUGUUUUAAUC